Paramuricea clavata is the source of this 220-nucleotide non-coding RNA. Lineage: Eukaryota; Metazoa; Cnidaria; Anthozoa; Malacalcyonacea; Plexauridae. The record is from the annotation of a GenBank genome assembly.
UUCAUGUAAACGUCUUCAAACUUUGUAUACUUACUAAUUUUGAGGUGGUCUUUUUAGUGGUUUGGUUCAUUUCUUAAUUUGGGCACUUUUUAACACUCGUCCCCAGUCCACUCAUCAACUUCGGAAUGGCUAAUUGGGUCAAAAAUGAAUAAACGGCAAGGUCUAUAUUGUCAUCUAAAUUUAACCAAAAUUUGAUCAAUUUGUCCUUGGGAAAUGUCCA